AAGCUGGAAUUGCUAGUAAUGGCAGGUCAGCAUACUGCCGUGAAUACGUUCCCGGGCCUUGUACACACCGCCCGUCACACCAUGAGAGUUGGGAAUACCCGAAGCCUGUGAGCCAACUAUAUAGAGGCAGCAGUCGAAGGUAGAAUCAAUGAUUGGGGUGAAGUCGUAACAAGGUAGC
RNAcentral lists this ribosomal RNA (178 nucleotides) under uncultured bacterium. RNAcentral describes it as "partial 16S ribosomal RNA". It matches the Rfam family "Bacterial small subunit ribosomal RNA", at positions 1323 to 1500 of the family's 1533-position model. The record is from RNAcentral.